Molecule: transfer RNA, 123 nt
Filed under: archaeon
Lineage: Archaea
Description: tRNA-Glu
Rfam family: tRNA
About the family: Transfer RNA (tRNA) molecules are approximately 80 nucleotides in length. Their secondary structure includes four short double-helical elements and three loops (D, anti-codon, and T loops).
Source: RNAcentral
GCUCCCGUAGUCUAGCCCGGCCAAGGAUGUCGGCCUUUCGAGCCGAAGACCCGGGAAGUUUUGGAUUUUUUCCAUAAUUCGGGAAUUCAAAUUUUGGGAAUGAGAUUCCCGGCGGGAGCACCA